RNAcentral lists this ribosomal RNA (253 nucleotides) under uncultured bacterium. RNAcentral's name for it is "partial 16S ribosomal RNA". It matches the Rfam family "Bacterial small subunit ribosomal RNA", at positions 524 to 776 of the family's 1533-position model. The record is from RNAcentral.
UACGGAGGGUGCAAGCGUUGUUCGGAAUCAUUGGGCGUAAAGGGCGCGUAGGCGGUCCAGCAAGUCGGGUGUGAAAGCCCUGGGCUCAACCCAGGAAGUGCAUCCGAAACUGUUGGACUUGAGUACGGGAGAGGGAAGUGGAAUUCCUGGUGUAGGGGUGAAAUCCGUAGAUAUCAGGAGGAACACCGGUGGCGAAGGCGACUUCCUGGACCGAUACUGACGCUGAGGCGCGAAAGCGCGGGGAGCAAACAGG